UCCGGUAUGGGUGCCAAAACAUAUAAGGUCUCCAUACCCCAUCCGGUAUGAGAGACCACGUUCCCGGUAGGGUUCCCUACGGACCCGGUCCAUCCACCAUCUCCAAGGAUAUCUAGUCAGGCUGUCCACAUUUUCUACUUAUCAAUUCACAUAACCUUUUUGCCUUUUUUUCUUAAUCUCAAUCAUCCAAUCAUACACAACAUGUAAACCAGUAAUUGACACCAAACAAGACAACACAGUAUCGGGUUCACCAUAAUACAAAACAUAAUAAA
RNAcentral lists this long non-coding RNA (272 nucleotides) under Carica papaya (papaya). RNAcentral describes it as "long non-coding RNA (CPAP_LNC008458)". Lineage: Eukaryota; Viridiplantae; Streptophyta; Magnoliopsida; Brassicales; Caricaceae. The record is from RNAcentral.